CUGUUCCCUACUUCAGGAUUCAUGUUUGUUUGUCUUUGCAUACCAGGUUCUGACGCUGUCCUGUUUGAUGUCUGUUCCAUAUUAAAUGUUCUACUCGUACCUGCUUCUCUUAUCCAGCAUCGGUCCUUAAACAUACAAAAUGUCGGGUUGGAGGACAUCCCACCCUGACACCCUGCUCUCGAGCGGCUAGAUGUUCUUUACCAUUCGGCCAUCAGAUUUGCCACUAAUGCUCCUUAUAGGACAAAUCACUGCACUCUAUACACCUCUGCAAACUGUUCAUCUCUGUUCAUCUCUGUACACCUGUCGCCAGACCCACUGGUUGAUGCUUAUUUAUAAAACCCUCUUAGGCUUAAACCCUCCCCCUAUCUGAGAUAUCUAUGGUAGCCCUCAUCUUCCACAUACAACACCCAUUCUGCCAGUCACGUUCUGUUAAAGGUCCCCAAAGCACACACAUCCCAGGUCGCUCCUCUUUUCAGUUCGCUGCAGCAAACACUCAGACUGGACAGUUUUAUCUCAAUCUCUUCAUUCAAAGACUCAAUCAUGGACACUCUUACUGACAGUUGUGGAUGCUUUUGUGAUGUAUUGUUGUCUCUACUUUCUUGACAUUUGUGCUUUUGACUGUGCUCAACAAUGUUUGUACCAUGUUUUGUGCUGCUACCAUGUUGUGUUGCAACCAUGUUGUUAUUGUGUUGUAUUGCUACCAUGCAGUGUUGUCAUGUGUUGCUGCCUUGAUAUGUUGUUGUCUUAGGUCUCUCUUUAUGUAGUGUUGUGUUGUCUCUUUUGUUGUGAUGUGUGUUAUUUAAUAUAUAUUAAAUCCCAGGCCCUGUCCCCACAGGCCUUUUGUUAGGC
Molecule: long non-coding RNA, 849 nt
Organism: Oncorhynchus keta (chum salmon)
Lineage: Eukaryota; Metazoa; Chordata; Actinopteri; Salmoniformes; Salmonidae
Exons: 2
Source: RefSeq, a predicted model, not a curated record